UGGGGAAUAUUGCACAAUGGGCGCAAGCCUGAUGCAGCCAUGCCGCGUGUAUGAAGAAGGCAUUCGGGUUGUAAAGUACUUUCAGCGGGGAGGAAGGAAGUAAAGUUAAUACCUUUGCUCAUUGACGUUACCCGCAGAAGAAGCACCGGCUAACUCCGUGCCAGCAGCCGCGGUAAUACGGAGGGUGCAAGCGUUAAUCGGAAUUACUGGGCGUAAAGCGCACGCAGGCGGUUUGUUAAGUCAGAUGUGAAAUCCCCGGGCUCAACCUGGGAACAGCGUCUGAGACUGGCAAGCAUGAGUGUCGUAGAGGGGGGUAGAAUUCCAGGUGUAGAGGUGAAAUGCGUGGAGAUCUGGAAGAAUACCGGUGGCGAAGGCGGCCCCCUGGACGAAGACUGACGCUCAGGUGCGAAAGCGUGGGGAGCAAACAGG
This 429-nucleotide ribosomal RNA is filed under the name Chloroflexota bacterium. RNAcentral's name for it is "Chloroflexi bacterium partial 16S ribosomal RNA". It matches the Rfam family "Bacterial small subunit ribosomal RNA", at positions 355 to 776 of the family's 1533-position model. The record is from RNAcentral. Lineage: Bacteria; Bacillati; Chloroflexota.